AGCGAACGCUGGCGGCAGGCCUAACACAUGCAAGUCGAACGAACUCUUCGGAGUUAGUGGCGGACGGGUGAGUAACACGUGGGAACGUGCCUUUUGGUUCGGAAUAACUCAGGGAAACUUGUGCUAAUACCGAAUGUGCCCUUCGGGGGAAAGAUUUAUCGCCAUUAGAGCGGCCCGCGUCUGAUUAACUAGUUGGUGAGGUAACGGCUCACCAAGGCGACGAUCAGUAGCUGGUCUGAGAGGAUGACCAGCCACACUGGGACUGAGACACGGCCCAGACUCCUACGGGAGGCAGCAGUGGGGAAUCUUGCGCAAUGGGCGAAAGCCUGACGCAGCCAUGCCGCGUGAAUGAUGAAGGUCUUAGGAUUGUAAAAUUCUUUCACCGGGGACGAUAAUGACGGUACCCGGAGAAGAAGCCCCGGCUAACUUCGUG
This 433-nucleotide ribosomal RNA is filed under the name uncultured bacterium. RNAcentral's name for it is "partial 16S ribosomal RNA". It matches the Rfam family "Bacterial small subunit ribosomal RNA", at positions 29 to 507 of the family's 1533-position model. The record is from RNAcentral.